UAGUGAGAGGCUGCUGGGUGAGAAC
This 25-nucleotide unclassified non-coding RNA is filed under the name Mus musculus (house mouse). Its description in RNAcentral is "oocyte_clustered_small_RNA12963". Lineage: Eukaryota; Metazoa; Chordata; Mammalia; Rodentia; Muridae. The record is from RNAcentral.